UGAGGUGCUUUGAAUGGUAAUGAU
RNAcentral lists this non-coding RNA (24 nucleotides) under Arabidopsis thaliana (thale cress). The record is from RNAcentral. Lineage: Eukaryota; Viridiplantae; Streptophyta; Magnoliopsida; Brassicales; Brassicaceae.